RNAcentral lists this unclassified non-coding RNA (1716 nucleotides) under Drosophila ananassae. RNAcentral describes it as "GF25180". Lineage: Eukaryota; Metazoa; Arthropoda; Insecta; Diptera; Drosophilidae. The record is from RNAcentral.
AACUCUAAACAGAAUACAAAGCAUGAAUCUAUCAUUCGCUGGCUGCGGAUUCCUUGGCAUCUACCACGUCGGAGUCGCAGUCUGUUUCAAAAAGUAUGCGCCUCAUCUGCUGUUGGAGAAAAUUGGAGGCGCCUCGGCCGGUUCGCUGGCCGCCUGCUGCCUCCUUUGCGAUUUGCCAUUGGGCAGCAUGACAUCUGACUUCUUCCGCGUGGUGAAUGAGGCGCGUCGCUACUCCCUGGGCCCCUUCAGUCCCUCCUUCAACAUCCAGACCUGCCUGCUCGAGGGUCUGCAGAAGCACCUCCCAGAGGAUGCCCACAAGAGGGUCAACGGCAGACUGCACAUCUCCCUCACCCGAGUCUACGACGGCAAGAAUGUGAUAAUUUCGGAGUUCGAGUCCCGGGAAGAGGUGCUCCAGGCCCUGCUCUGUGCCUGCUUUAUUCCCGGAUUUUCGGGCAUACUGCCGCCCAAGUUCCGCGGUGUCCGCUACAUGGACGGCGCCUUCUCCGAUAACCUGCCCAUCUUGGACGAGAACACCAUCACAGUCAGCCCGUUCUGCGGAGAAAGUGAUAUCUGUCCGCGCGAUCAGAGCUCACAACUGUUUCACCUGAACUGGGCCAAUACCAGCAUCGAGAUCUCCAGACAGAACGUCAACCGGUUCGUGAGGAUCCUGUUCCCGCCGCGUCCCGAGUUCCUGUCCAAGUUCUGCCAGCAGGGAUUCGACGAUGCCCUCCAGUUCCUGCACCGCAACAAUCUCAUCAAUUGUCGGCGUUGUGUGGCGGUCCAAUCCACGUUUGUGGUCUCCGAAACGGUGGCCCAGCCGGAGGAGUUCGAUCCAGAGUGCAGGGAGUGCAAAAAGCAUAGAAAGGACGCUUUAAGCUCAAACAUGCCACAAACAGUGCUGGAUGUGAUCCAGGACUACAUAGAGCAAGCCAACAAGGGACUAGCCAACUGGAUCUUCAAGCAUCGCGGCAUCAAGCUGCUCUCUCUGCCCGCCACAGUGCCCAUGGACUUCCUACUGGCCACCAUAUCCAAAAUCACCACUCUGACGCCCAAACUCACAAAACAGGCCAGGGUUAUGGUGGAGGAUUUUAUUGUUCAAUUGAACAAUGCCAUGCAAAUACGCCUGCUGAACAAAUUUACGCUCUAUGAUCAGCCGCACUUUGAUGCCACAGGACUUUUGCAUUCCAGUCGCCUCUAUGGACCUCGAGUAUCCAUUCUUGUAGAUGAAUGUGGCGCCACUCCCCUGGAGGAUGAUGUCGAUAACUUUGAGCAUGUCCUCAAAAUGACCACGCACAACGACGCUCUCUACGCCUACUAUUACACCGACAAUCAUACGAACAAGGUCAAGGUUACCGAGAUCUUUGACUUUGACGAUAUGACGGAGCACGAUGAACUGGCGACCGACCUGCAAAUAUACGAGGGAUCCGUCGAGGAUCAUCCCAAUCCCCACCAGCACAGCCACAACACCGUGGUCAGCGAAUGGAAUGGCGUCGAAUCAGUACAAAUAAUGCCCACGACACCUGAACUGCACGACGUAGCAUUUUAAAGCACAAUCACACAGUUAUCAGAAAAUAUUAAUCGACAAUCAAUGCACCUCCAUUAUAAGAACCUACACAAGCACAAAGUCAAAAUUUUAAAUCAUUUUAUCAGACUUUUUCAUCGAUGCCCAGACACCUAGCACGGAGGUAUGCAAAUCAUCGACGCCCCAGUUCGCCA